AAGGGGGGCAACUCCCGAGUAGAGCGGCGGACGGGUGAGUAACACAUCGGAACGUGCCCAGUAGUGGGGGACAACCUCGAGAAAUCGAGGCUAAUACCGCAUACGACCCACGGGUGAAAGCGGGGGACCGCAAGGCCUCGCGCUAUUGGAGCGGCCGAUGUCCGAUUAGCUAGUUGGCGGGGUAAGAGCCCACCAAGGCGACGAUCGGUAGCUGGUCUGAGAGGACGACCAGCCACACUGGGACUGAGACACGGCCCAGACUCCUACGGGAGGCAGCAGUGGGGAAUUUUGGACAAUGGGGGCAACCCUGAUCCAGCCAUGCCGCGUGCGGGAAGAAGGCCUUCGGG
RNAcentral lists this ribosomal RNA (347 nucleotides) under uncultured bacterium. RNAcentral's name for it is "bacterial SSU rRNA". It matches the Rfam family "Bacterial small subunit ribosomal RNA", at positions 72 to 422 of the family's 1533-position model. The record is from RNAcentral.